RNAcentral lists this long non-coding RNA (660 nucleotides) under Nicotiana benthamiana. RNAcentral's name for it is "long non-coding RNA (NBEN_LNC010526)". Lineage: Eukaryota; Viridiplantae; Streptophyta; Magnoliopsida; Solanales; Solanaceae. The record is from RNAcentral.
UCUAUGUAUGGGGUUUAUCAUCAUUGCCCUACAUAUAUCUCAACCCCCCCCCCCCCCUCAAGUUGAAGGGGGGAAACCACCAUCAACUUGGACAAAAGUGGAAAAAGAGUAGUUAUGAACAGCAGCCUGACUAUCACAAAAGACAGAAAUAGGAGAAGGAACAUAUACCCCAAGGUCUUCAAGUAAACGGGAGAGCCAAGUUAAUUCAGCUGUAACCUUGCAAAGAGCUCUGUAUUCGGCCUCAGCAGAAGAAAGAGAGACAACAGGUUGUUUUUUCGACUUCCAACUAAUUAAACUGCCACCCAAAAGUACACAAAAACCAGUAACAGAACGUCUAGUAUCAGGGCAAGCAGCCCAGUCACUGAAGUUAAUUCAGCUGUAACCUUGCUAAGAGCUCUGUAUUCGGCCUCAGCAGAAGAAAGAGAGACAACAGGUUGUUUUUUCGACUUCCAACUAAUUAAACUGCCACCCAAAAGUACACAAAAACCAGUAACAGAACGUCUAGUAUCAGGGCAAUCAGCCCAGUCACUGUCAGAAUAUCCAGUCACAGAAUAAUCAUCAACAGCAGAAUAAAACAAACCCAAAGAAGAAGUGCCUUUUAAGAUAUCUCAAAACAUGCAUGGCAGCAGACAUAUGGGGAACCCUUGGGCAUUUAAGAAA